RNAcentral lists this ribosomal RNA (1544 nucleotides) under Vibrio cholerae. RNAcentral's name for it is "partial 23S ribosomal RNA". It matches the Rfam family "Bacterial large subunit ribosomal RNA", at positions 18 to 1573 of the family's 2925-position model. The record is from RNAcentral. Lineage: Bacteria; Pseudomonadati; Pseudomonadota; Gammaproteobacteria; Vibrionales; Vibrionaceae.
CGCACGGUGAAUGCCUAGGCACUGGAAGCCGAUGAAGGACGUGACAAACGACGAAAUGCUUCGGGGAGCGGUAAGUACGCAGAGAUCCGGAGAUAUCCGAAUGGGGGAACCCGGCACCGCGAGGUGUCACCUUGAAUGUGAAUAGAUAGCAUUAAGGAGGAAGACGCAGUGAACUGAAACAUCUAAGUAGCUGCAGGAAGAGAAAGAAAGAUCGAUUUCCCAAGUAGCGGCGAGCGAACAGGAAAGAGCCCAAACCUAAUGGCUUGCCAUUAGGGGUAGAAGGACUGUAAAAAGCCGAAUGGAAGGAUAGCAGAAUUAUCUGGGAAGAUAAGCCAAAGAGGGUGAGAGCCCCGUAAGCGAAAUCCGGAAAGUAGGUGAGCAGGAUCCUGAGUAGGUCGGGACACGAGGAAUCCCGAUUGAAUCCGCGAGGACCAUCUCGCAAGGCUAAAUACUAACCAGUGACCGAUAGUGAACCAGUACCGUGAGGGAAAGGUGAAAAGAACCCCGGGAGGGGAGUGAAAGAGAACCUGAAACCGUGUGCCUACAAGUAGUCAGAGCACGUUAAAGUGUGAUGGCGUGCCUUUUGUAGAAUGAACCGGCGAGUUGCGUUGUGGUGCAAGGUUAAGUCAGAAAAGACGGAGCCGAAGCGAAAGCGAGUCUGAAGAGGGCGAGAUAGUAUCAUGACGCAGACCCGAAACCAAGUGACCUACCCAUGACCAGGUUGAAGGCGUGGUAAAACACGCUGGAGGACCGAACCCACGCAAGUUGAAAAUUGCGGGGAUGAGUUGUGGGUAGCGGUGAAAUUCCAAACGAACUUGGAGAUAGCUGGUUCUCUCCGAAAUAGCUUUAGGGCUAGCCUCGUGUGAAUGAUAAUGGAGGUAGAGCACUGUUUGGACUAGGGGCCCGUCAGGGGUUACUGAAUCCAGAUAAACUCCGAAUGCCAGAUAUCAAUGCACGGGAGUCAGACUGCGAGUGAUAAGAUCCGUAGUCGAAAGGGAAACAGCCCAGAUCACCGGUUAAGGUCCCAAAAUCUAUGCUAAGUGGAAAAGGAUGUGGAGUUGCACAGACAACUAGGAUGUUGGCUCAGAAGCAGCCACCAUUUAAAGAGUGCGUAAUAGCUCACUAGUCGAGUGACGCUGCGCCGAAAAUUUACCGGGGCUAAGCAUAGUACCGAAACCGUGGAUGCAGGUAACUGCGUGGUAGGAGAGCGUUCUAAAGGCGGAGAAGGCAGAUCGAGAGGACUGUUGGAGCGUUUAGAAGUGAGAAUGCCGGUAUAAGUAGCGAAAGACAGGUGAGAAUCCUGUCCGCCGAAAGACUAAGGUUUCCUGGGGCAGGCUCGUCCGCCCAGGGUAAGUCGGGACCUAAGGUAAGGCCGAGAGGCGUAGCCGAUGGACAACAGGUAGAUAUUCCUGUACUAUUCGUAAUCGAUAAGAGCGAAGGAGGGACGCAGGAGGCUAAUGACGCAUGGAGAUGGAAUCAUGUGUAAGCGUUAAGGGAGGAUACGAGUCAAAUGCUUGUAGCCAAUUUUGAGACGUGAUGCGGAG